CACGUAGGGCGCAAGCGUUGUCCGGAAUCAUUGGGCGUAAAGCGCGCGUAGGCGGCCCUGUAAGUCCGUUGUGAAAGUCAAAGGCUCAACCUUUGAAAGCCGAUGGAUACUGCAGGGCUAGAGUCCGGAAGAGGCGAGUGGAAUUCCUGGUGUAGCGGUGGAAUGCGCAGAUAUCAGGAGGAACACCAAUAGCGAAGGCAGCUCGCUGGGACGGUACUGACGCUAAGGCGCGAAAGCGUGGGGAGCGAACAGG
Molecule: ribosomal RNA, 253 nt
Filed under: uncultured bacterium
Lineage: Bacteria
Description: partial 16S ribosomal RNA
Rfam family: Bacterial small subunit ribosomal RNA
Source: RNAcentral